Molecule: ribosomal RNA, 460 nt
Filed under: uncultured bacterium
Lineage: Bacteria
Description: partial 16S ribosomal RNA
Rfam family: Bacterial small subunit ribosomal RNA
Source: RNAcentral
CCUACGGGUGGCAGCAGUGAGGAAUAUUGGUCAAUGGGCGCAAGCCUGAACCAGCCAAGUCGCGUGAGGGAUGACGGUCCUAUGGAUUGUAAACCUCUUUUGUCGGGGAGCAAGGCCCGCCACGUGUGGCGGGAAGGAGAGUACCCGCAGAAAAAGCAUCGGCUAACUCCGUGCCAGCAGCCGCGGUAAGACGGAGGAUGCGAGCGUUAUCCGGAUUGAUUGGGUUUAAAGGGUGCGUAGGCGGAUGGUUAGGUCAGCGGUCAAAUGUCGGUGAUGAACACCGGCCUGCCGUUGAAACUGGUCUUCUUGAGGGCGCGAGAGGUAUGCGGAAUGCGUGGUGUAGCGGUGAAAUGCAGAGAUAGCACGCAGAACUCCGAUUGCGAAGGCAGCAUACCGGCGCUCAACUGACGCUGAGGCACGAAAGCGUGGGGAUCGAACAGGAUUAGAUACCCGAGUAGUC